CACAUACUGUGAGCUCGAUGAGUAGGGCGGGACACGUGGUAUCCUGUCUGAAUAUGGGGGGACCAUCCUCCAAGGCUAAAUACUCCUGACUGACCGAUAGUGAACCAGUACCGUGAGGGAAAGGCGAAAAGAACCCCGGCGAGGGGAGUGAAAAAGAACCUGAAACCGUGUACGUACAAGCAGUGGGAGCCUCUUAAUGGGGUGACUGCGUACCUUUUGUAUAAUGGGUCAGCGACUUAUAUUCUGUAGCAAGGUUAACCGAAUAGGGGAGCCGAAGGGAAACCGAGUCUUAACUGGGCGUUAAGUUGCAGGGUAUAGACCCGAAACCCGGUGAUCUAGCCAUGGGCAGGUUGAAGGUUGGGUAACACUAACUGGAGGACCGAACCGACUAAUGUUGAAAAAUUAGCGGAUGACUUGUGGCUGGGGGUGAAAGGCCAAUCAAACCGGGAGAUAGCUGGUUCUCCCCGAAAGCUAUUUAGGUAGCGCCUCGUGAAUUCAUCUCCGGGGGUAGAGCACUGUUUCGGCAAGGGGGUCAUCCCGACUUACCAACCCGAUGCAAACUGCGAAUACCGGAGAAUGUUAUCACGGGAGACACACGGCGGGUGCUAACGUCCGUCGUGAAGAGGGAAACAACCCAGACCGCCAGCUAAGGUCCCAAAGUCAUGGUUAAGUGGGAAACGAUGUGGGAAGGCCCAGACAGCCAGGAUGUUGGCUUAGAAGCAGCCAUCAUUUAAAGAAAGCGUAAUAGCUCACUGGUCGAGUCGGCCUGCGCGGAAGAUGUAACGGGGCUAAACCAUGCACCGAAGCUGCGGCAGCGACACUAUGUGUUGUUGGGUAGGGGAGCG
This 845-nucleotide ribosomal RNA is filed under the name Escherichia coli. RNAcentral's name for it is "partial 23S ribosomal RNA". It matches the Rfam family "Bacterial large subunit ribosomal RNA", at positions 391 to 1238 of the family's 2925-position model. Lineage: Bacteria; Pseudomonadati; Pseudomonadota; Gammaproteobacteria; Enterobacterales; Enterobacteriaceae. The record is from RNAcentral.